GAUGAACGCUGGCGGCGUGCCUAAUACAUGCAAGUCGAGCGAACAGACGAGGAGCUUGCUCCUCUGACGUUAGCGGCGGACGGGUGAGUAACACGUGGAUAACCUACCUAUAAGACUGGGAUAACUUCGGGAAACCGGAGCUAAUACCGGAUAAUAUAUUGAACCGCAUGGUUCAAUAGUGAAAGACGGUUUUGCUGUCACUUAUAGAUGGAUCCGCGCCGCAUUAGCUAGUUGGUAAGGUAACGGCUUACCAAGGCAACGAUGCGUAGCCGACCUGAGAGGGGGGGCGGCACCAGGGGACAGGAACAAGGGCCAGGCCUCCGCGGGAGGGAAGAAGAGGGGAAUCUGCGGAAAGGGGCGAAAGCCGGACGGAACACCGCGGGGGGAGGGAGAAAGUUCUUCGGAUCGAAAAACUUUUUUAUGGGGAAAAAAAAAAUGGGUAAGUACUUAUGCCCGUCUUGAGGGGACCUAAUAAAAAAGCCAGGGCAAACUCCGUG
RNAcentral lists this ribosomal RNA (497 nucleotides) under uncultured bacterium. RNAcentral describes it as "partial 16S ribosomal RNA". It matches the Rfam family "Bacterial small subunit ribosomal RNA", at positions 28 to 507 of the family's 1533-position model. The record is from RNAcentral.